UACGGGGGGGGCAAGCGUUGUUCGGAAUUACUGGGCGUAAAGGGUUCGUAGGUGGCCCGCUAAGUCACACGUGAAAUCCCUCAGCUUAACUGGGGAACUGCGUCUGAUACUGGUUGGCUUGAGUGCAGGAGAGGAACGCGGAAUUCCAGGUGUAGCGGUGAAAUGCGUAGAUAUCUGGAGGAACACCGGUGGCGAAGGCGGCGUUCUGGACUGCAACUGACACUGAGGAACGAAAGCCAGGGGAGCAAACGGG
Molecule: ribosomal RNA, 253 nt
Filed under: uncultured bacterium
Lineage: Bacteria
Description: partial 16S ribosomal RNA
Rfam family: Bacterial small subunit ribosomal RNA
Source: RNAcentral